Phasianus colchicus (ring-necked pheasant) is the source of this 557-nucleotide long non-coding RNA. RefSeq lists it as uncharacterized. NCBI's taxonomy places the organism in Eukaryota, Metazoa, Chordata, Aves, Galliformes, Phasianidae. The record is from RefSeq and is a predicted model, not a curated record.
AUCACAAAUUAUCUCAUUACUCCCCACCAACUAAUUCAUUUAAAGGACUAAAGCAAGCAGCACAUCAAUCCAGCAAGUACAGUGAAGUAAAACAGUGCUACAAGCAAGCAGUGCCCUCAGAGCAGAAGGCAACAGUGCAGCAAUGUUAAGGCUCAGAGCUUUGAUACCACUCACCCCCUUGCCCCCAGCUCCUGAUUUUCAAAUGCUCAGAAGACAACAGCUUCUCACGAAAGCCAACAUCAGCAUUGCACAGAUGCUAUGAAGCAAGAGCGAUGGCCAAGAUCUGCAGAAGUGAUGAGUGAUUCUGGGAGUUUGGGCUGAAAGCAAAGAUCCCGACAACCAAGCAAUCCUUUAACCUCCAAACAGGAGGCAGAGGGAUGCACGGAGCCUUCUGCUGAUGCACUCAGGGCAGUCAUCAUGCACAGGCAGGACAGGCUCUGCCCAACCAGGCACUACUUUCCUUCCUGGAGAUGCAUAAAAAUCCCACAGAGAGCAGCAGAGCCACGACAAGGAGUUGAGAAGAUGGACUUAGAAUGGGGAGCUUUUUUCCUUUUUUC